Molecule: ribosomal RNA, 497 nt
Filed under: uncultured bacterium
Lineage: Bacteria
Description: partial 16S ribosomal RNA
Rfam family: Bacterial small subunit ribosomal RNA
Source: RNAcentral
GAUGAACGCUGGCGGCGUGCCUAAUACAUGCAAGUAGAACGCUGAAGCUUGGUGCUUGCACCGAGCGGAUGAGUUGCGAACGGGUGAGUAACGCGUAGGUAACCUGCCUCUUAGCGGGGGAUAACUAUUGGAAACGAUAGCUAAUACCGCAUAAAAGUCGAUAUCGCAUGAUAUUGAUUUGAAAGGUGCAAAUGCAUCACUAAGAGAUGGACCUGCGUUGUAUUAGCUAGUUGGUGAGGUAACGGCUCACCAAGGCGACGAUACAUAGCCGACCUGAGAGGGUGAUCGGCCACACUGGGACGGAGACACGGCCCAGACUCCUACGGGAGGCAGCAGUAGGGAAUCUUCGGCAAUGGGGGCAACCCUGACCGAGCAACGCCGCGUGAGUGAAGAAGGUUUUCGGAUCGUAAAGCUCUGUUGUAAGAGAAGAACGAGUGUGAGAGUGGAAAGUUCACACUGCGACGGUAACUUACCAGAAAGGGACGGCUAACUACGUG